GGAAGUAAAAGUCGUGACAAGGUUUCCGUAGGUGAACCUGCGGAAGGAUCAUUAUUGUGUAACCGAGGUGCGAGGGCUGUCGCUGACCCGAAAGGUCGUGCACGCCCGAGUGCCCUCACACACAUCCAUCUCACCCCUAUGUGCACCACCGCGUGGGUCCCCCUUUGGCUUGUUCGGAGGGGGGCUUACGUUUUCACACAAACUUUGUAUGCAGUGUAGAAUGUAUUUUUUGUUUUUGCGAUCACGCAAUCAAUACAACUUUCAACAACGGAUCUCUUGGCUCUC
Molecule: unclassified non-coding RNA, 285 nt
Filed under: plant metagenome
Description: partial contains small subunit ribosomal RNA, internal transcribed spacer 1, and 5.8S ribosomal RNA
Rfam family: Eukaryotic small subunit ribosomal RNA (bases 1-54)
Source: RNAcentral